This 1131-nucleotide long non-coding RNA is filed under the name Oncorhynchus kisutch (coho salmon). Its description in RNAcentral is "lncRNA (ENSOKIG00005045447.1)". The record is from RNAcentral. Lineage: Eukaryota; Metazoa; Chordata; Actinopteri; Salmoniformes; Salmonidae.
GAGAGGGGGCUCUUUAACUUUAACUUUCUUUGCUUUGGUUCCAUCCAGCCCAUUUUCCCCAAAUUACUGUGUAAAGGAAGAAUAAAUUCCCUGUUAAAGGUAAUAUUCUCAUCCUCUGUCAUCUUUACCCGCACCUACAGUCACAUACCUCUUUACUUCCACCUACAGUCACAUACCUCUUUACUUCCACCUACAGUCACAUACCUCUUUACCUCUACCUACAGUCACAUACCUCUUUACUUCCACCUACAGUCACAUACCUCUUUACCUCUACCUACAGUCACAUACAUCUUUACCUCCACCUACAGUCCCAUACCUAUACCUACAGUCACAUACCUCUUUACCUCCACCUACAGUCACAUACCUCCACCUACAGUCACAUACCUCUUUACCUCCACCUACAGUCACAUACCUCUUUACCUCCACCUACAGUCACAUACCUCUUUACCUCCACCUACAGUCUCAUACCUCCACCUACAGUCACAUACCUCUUUACCGCCACCUACAGUCCCAUACCUCCACCUACAUUCCCAUACCUCUUUACCUCCACCUACAGUCACAUACCUCAACCUACAGUCACAUAUCUCCACCUACAGUCGCAUACCUCUUUACCUCCACCUACAGUCACAUAUCUCCACCUCCACCUACAGUCACAGACCUCUUUACCUCCACAUACAGUCCCAUACCUCUUUACCUCCACCUACAGUCACAUACCUCUUUACCUCCACAUACAGUCCCAUACCUCUUUACCUCCACCUACAGUCACAUACCUCUUUACCUCCACCUACAGUCCCAUACCUCUUUACCUCCACCUACAGUCACAUACCUCUUUACCUCCACCUACAGUCCCAUACCUCUUUACUUCCACCUACAGUCACAUACCUCUUUACCUCCACCUACAGUCCCAUACCUCCACCUACAGUCACAUACCUCCACCUACAGUCACAUACCUCUUUUCCUCCACCUACAGUCACAUACCUCCACCUGCAGUCACAUACCUCCACCUACAGUCACAUACCUCUUUACCCGCACCUACAGUCACAUACCUCCACCUACAGUCACAUACCUCUUUCACUCCACUGGGAGUUGAGUGUAGCGGGGUGUUGUGUUCCCUCCAAGAGGCUUAAGUAA